Triticum dicoccoides is the source of this 1355-nucleotide RNA transcript. It is a transcript of the gene named putative RING-H2 finger protein ATL69, with no coding region annotated. The transcript has 4 exons. The record is from RefSeq and is a predicted model, not a curated record. Lineage: Eukaryota; Viridiplantae; Streptophyta; Magnoliopsida; Poales; Poaceae.
AACGAAGAUACAGCAAAAGCAGCUGCGGCAUUCCGCCACCUCGCAGUUCCCCACCCGACCUUCCCACCAACCAACCAGCUCUUCCAGCCUCCGCAGGCCACCGCUCCGCCCCCCUUCCGCUGCAGUUGCACCGUAGCCGGUCCGUCGCCGUCAAGCGACCACGCCAAUCACAAACCGUGAUCGCCACCCACCCUCCGGCCUCCGCGGGCGGGACCCGCCGACCAAUGGGCACCCCCUGCCCCAACCUCACCGCUCUCGCGAUUCGCCGCAGCGGCGGCCGCCUGUUCGAGCGGUAGGGAUUUCCCUCGUCGUCGUGGGCGCGGGAGACCUGGUGUCGCUGGCGCGAGGCGAGGGGAGGCGAGGCCGCGAGGGGGCAGCGAUGAUGUUCGGGUCGGGGAUGAAUCUCCUCAGCGCGGCGCUCGGCUUCGGCAUGACCGCCGCCUUCGUCGCGUUCGUCUGCGCGCGGUUCAUCUGCUGCCGCGCCCGGGACGCGGACGACGGCGCCCCAUCGCCGGUGGACUUUGACGUUGACUUCCCAGCAGAUCUCGAACGCCCGGUAGAGGAUGCUAAUUGUGGGUUGGAACCUUUGGUUAUUGCUGCAAUUCCUAUUAUGAAGUACUCUGAGGCUUUAUAUUCAAAGGAUGAUGCCCAGUGCUCCAUAUGUCUAGGUGAAUACACUGAGAAAGAGCUUCUAAGAAUCAUUCCGACAUGUCAACAUAACUUUCACCGUACCUGCUUAGACUUAUGGUUGCAGAAGCAGACUACUUGCCCAAUAUGCCGGGUCUCGUUGAAAGAGUUGCCUAGCGGCAAAGCUGCCAUAGCACCUUCAUGUAGCAACCCUCAAGUGCGCCCCCGCACUGAGAACUCUGUUAAUCCAGCACCUGACUGGCUCCUCCCUGUUCAUCAUUCUCACAGAGGUCAACAGAAUAGUUCAGACACACAAGCAUCAGUAGAAGUGGUUAUUGAGAUACGCCAAUAAGCACAUCAUGAGAUUGCUAUGAAAGAGAACAAAGCGGGAAUAUGUAAUAGGUUUCCUGCCUCGCUGCAUUGUUGCAGCAUCCUAAUUGGAUCGACAUUGUAUGCAAUCUCGUCGCAGGAAAUGUCAGUGCGGCGGCGGCAGAGGCAGAACCAACCUUCUUGUUCGUGGUGUCCGUGUUGUCAUCCAUGCCGCCAGUGAAGAGGUUAAGGAAGUAGUCGAGUAGUGGGUGUAACCGAACAAUAACAAGCAGUUGCAUCGAGACGUUCUCAAAUACCUUAUGGCCCCUUCUCCCGGCGCAUGCUCAGAGCAUCUCCAAUAGUGUAUCUAUAUGGAUGUCUAUACUCGUUUUUCACGAUAUGAGCCCAAAACAAGCGUU